Molecule: long non-coding RNA, 26267 nt
Filed under: Vitis vinifera (wine grape)
Lineage: Eukaryota; Viridiplantae; Streptophyta; Magnoliopsida; Vitales; Vitaceae
Description: long non-coding RNA (VVIN_LNC003761)
Source: RNAcentral
UUGAUUUAUAGAGAGAUCUUCUAUAUCCAUUCACUACUCAGAAUCACCUCUUUCUAUUGUUGAUUGUUGUUUGGGUUUCGGAGAAAGAAAAUUAAGAAGAUGAGUCAUAUGGGGAAAGCUUGGUUAGUGGCAGCAAGUGUGGGAGCAGUGGAGGCACUCAAGGAUCAGGGCUUCUGCAGAUGGAACUACACUCUGAGGUCUAUUCACCAGCAUGCCAAGACCAACCUCAGGUCCUUUGCUCAGGCCAAGAAGCUCUCUUCUUCCUCUUCCGCCAUGGUUUCCAGCAGAGUGAGAGAGGAGAAGGCCAAGCAGUCAGAGGAGUCUCUGAGGACUGUCAUGUACUUGAGCUGCUGGGGACCCAACUGAAGAAGAAGAUAUGAAGAUGGAUGAUCAUCAGCCUGCUCUUGAAGCAUCCAGGGAGGGCAUAUUCCAAGAAAGUAACGGAAAAUUGAGAUGAAGAAGCUGCAGUGAAGCAAUUUCAUGGAAUUUUUGCUUGGAGACUCACGAAUUACAACCAAUUGCUCAGGGUUGGGAAAAUUGGAAUUGGUGUAAAUUGUGACUGGGUCUUUGUAAAACCCACAUCAUUUAGCUAGAAAAGCUUUGAAAAUACAUUUUAAUUUAAUUUAUAAUUUCUAUGUUAGAAUAUUAGAUCCAAUUCCUAAAAAGCUUAUCAGCCUUGUAUAUAUGGCUAAGCAGGUCAACUUCCCAAGCUCAAGCGCAUUAAGAAAUUCUCAGACCUACCUUUUUUUUAUAGAAUUUUUGGGAAGUUUUACAGCAAUUGAAAACAAAUCUUAAAAGGGUCGGGAAAUUAUUUGAAAAAAUAUGGCAGAUUUGGUCACAUAGGUGAUAAAGAGGUGAUAAAGUUGGUACAACGCCCAAAAUUAAACUCUCAAUUAAUUUAAUUGAACAAAUAAUCAUAAAAGAGAUUUUUUUAAUUUAUGAUUUUUAUUUUUUUAUUUAUACUUUUUGAAAAAGAAAAUUCCAGUGAAAUAUGUUCGUGUAGACUGUGUGGCAGGAUGCAGACUAAACAAAGAAAUUGACACGUGCUUGAAGUCCGGCCCUACACAUAGCCCCAUUGGAAAACAGCGGUUUCAUCCUCCGUACUCUUUGGGCGUUAAGUGGGUUCACAAACCAAACAAUGGGCUGCCCCAACACAGCAACACUUAGACUGAGGACAAACUAUGUAGGUGAAUACCCAAUUAUACCCACAUGAAUCAGUGGUCAAUCUUUCAAAUCUAAGGACAGAGUAGUCAUUCCAAUUCAAACCAAACAAAGCUAUGAGAACUGCUGGCCACAGCCUCUGGUUUCCCCAAAACUUUGGGCAGUAUUCCUCAAAGAAUCAAGUGGGCUAGAGUUAAUAACUACGUCCACCAUGGUUAGAUUAUUGGGGGCUAGAGUUAAUAACUUCAUCGACCAUGGUUAGAUUAUUGGUAUCUCGAUGGGAGAAGUUGUUUUGAUGGAAAAACAUUGUAUUUUAUUAUUUUGUAAAUUUUAUCAUCACUCAUAUAUAUUAUUUUUUAUUUAAAAUUAAAUAAAAAAUUAAAAUUCUUAGAAAAUACGAAAAGAAAGUAUAUCACAAUCUUUAUUUUCUAUUCUAAAAUUAAAAAAUAAAAAUAAAAUUAUGAAGAAAAAAGUACAUUCCAACUUACAUUAAUUAAGGGAUGAUAUACUGUGUAAAUAAAAAAUAUAAAAAAUAAUUAAAGGUUAAAUAAAUCACUUAAUAAAUCGGUAGUAUGGGUUGAUGGUUUCAUUAUUAGACUAUAACAAGGAUUUUCUUUUUCUUUUUCUUUUUAAAUGCAUUUCAUGGUGGUGUAGAAUUUUUUUGUAUAAGGGUUUUUAAAUUGUAAUAUAGAUUAUACAUAUAGUUGUGUUUUGUCCUAAAUUCUGACUUCCAAGUUUUCAACAUUAUAUAAAAAUUCCUAAAAUCACCUACUUCGUAGGUUUUAUAACAUUAUAUAAAAAGCCAUGAAUUCACCUAUUAGAAAAAUGUUAUUUGGUGCGCUAUCAUUACCAUGACCUCAAUCUCGUGCAAAGAUACCGAGUGGUUACAAAUAGUAAAAAAUAAAUAAUAAAAACAAAAUAUAUUCAUUAUUAUUAUUAUUAUUUUGUUCUUUUAUCAUCCAUUAUUCACAUCUUAGCAUAUGAUAGAAAAGAUGAUAAAAGAUUAUUUAUGUUAUAUGAUUUUAAGUGAAAUGAUCAAAAUAUUUAAAGAAAAAAUUAAUAAUUCAUGAAGAAUUUUUGGUAAAUUUAUAAAUUUGUAAUAAAUAUUGAUAAAUGAUAAACAAAGUAGUUUUUAAAGUGGUUGCAGCAGUUAAACAUUGUAUCUUAUUAUGAUUUUCCACCCUCAAAACUUAAUAAUAAAAUUUCAUAACAAAUUUUUAUCUAUUUGAAACUUUUGAAAUGUGAAAUCUUUUCUUGGACAUUUUUAUAUAUACAUUUGUGAAUUUUAUCUUUAUUUUUUAUUUAUAAAAUUAAAGGAUAAAAUUAAAAUGUUAAAAAUAAAAGAGAAGUAUAUCCCAACUUGCAUCAAUUAAGAGAAGAUAUAUUAAGCAUGUGAAGAAUGCAAAAAAAAUUAAUGAUAAAAUAAAUCACUUAGUAGAUAGUAUUUAAUGAUUUACAUUAUUAGAUUGUAGCAAUGAGUUAUAUUUUUAUUUUUGUGUAUAGGGGAUUUUAAAUUAUAAUAUAUAUUUUUUUAUUUUUGAGUUAGUUUUCUUUGUUGAUACAUAGUUUUUUUUUUGUCUUGGAUAUUGUGUUAUCAACAGUUUUAAAAGAAAUAAAAAUUAUUUAUCCCACAUCGAUUCAAAACUAAAAAUAUUAUAUAUAUUUAUUAAAACUUUGAUACUCUUAAAAAAUACAAGUACAACCAAUAAGCAAGCAUAGGGAUGGCAACGGGGUGGGUAUGGGACAUGCCACCCCUACCCCAUUUCCAUCCCGGUUAUAUAUUUUUUUGCCCAUCCUUGUCCCAAACUCGGGGCGGGGCGAGUUGGUGUCCCCCUUACCUAUUUACAAAAGAACUGAUAAUCUCAUCUCCGUCCCAAAUGUAUUUUCGGGAAUUAUGCUUUUACAAAACAUAGGUCUCUGAAAUUUCAAUAUAUGUUAUAUGGGUUAUCAUAAACACAUUUAAUCAAGCAUUUGUUGUGCAACAAAACUGCAAAUUACACAUAUGAGAACAAAAUGCACAGAUCUACAAAUAAACAACCCAAAAAAUCUCAAAUCCAUAAACCAAAACCAGAAAAUAUGAAAAACAAGACAUUCUAACAAAGCCUCAAAACAUAGUAUUUAAUGAUUUACAUUAUUAGAUUGUAGCAAUGAGUUAUAUUUUUAUUUUUGUGUAUAGGGGAUUUUAAAUUAUAAUAUAUAUUUUUUUAUUUUUGAGUUAGUUUUCUUUGUUGAUACAUAGUUUUUUUUUUGUCUUGGAUAUUGUGUUAUCAACAGUUUUAAAAGAAAUAAAAAUUAUUUAUCCCACAUCGAUUCAAAACUAAAAAUAUUAUAUAUAUUUAUUAAAACUUUGAUACCCUUAAAAAAUACAAGUACAACCAAUAAGCAAGCAUAGGGAUGGCAACGGGGUGGGUAUGGGACAUGCCACCCCUACCCCAUUUCCAUCUCGGUUAUAUAUUUUUUUGCCCAUCCUUGUCCCAAACUCGGGGCAGGGCGAGUUGGUGUCCCCUUUACAUGUUUACAAAAGAACUGAUAAUCUCAUCCCCGUCCCAAAUGUAUUUUCGGGAAUUAUGCUUUUACAGAACAUAGGUCUCUGAAAUUUCAAUAUACGUUAUAUGGGUUAUCAUAAACACAUUUAAUCAAGCAUUUGUUGUGCAACAAAACUGCAAAUUACACAUAUGAGAACAAAAUGCACAGAUCUACAAAUAAACAACCCAAAAAAUCUCAAAUCCAUAAACCAAAACCAGAAAAUAUGAAAAACAAGACAUUCUAACAAAGCCUCAAAACUUAGGGUUUUCUUACCUGGAAAUGAGGAAUCCAUAGAAACCCUAAUAAUUUGUUGUCUACGAAUUUGGUUUUUGGUUUUUAGAGCAAAAAUUGUGCUUUUAGGGUGAAAUGGGAAGAAGCAAUUUAGGAAUAAAUGAGAAAACGGGAAGAAAUGAGAAAAUGAAAGGCCUCUUACAAGCAAAAGAACCCUGAGCAAUUUAGGAAGAAAUGAGAAAACGGGAAGAAAUGAGAGCGAAAGCCCUCUAAUUCUCUCACGAGCGAAAUAACCCUAAAACUUGAGGAAGAAAUGAUUAUAUACGGAGAACUUUUUGGGUAUUUUGUAAUGAUAUAAGGGUAAAUUGGUAAUUCACAUACGGGACGGGGUAGAAACUGCAAAACCCAUCCCUGCCUUAAACCCGAUUCGGGUUUUUAUAUAUUCCCCAAACCCGUUUUAUACCCGAAUAGAAUAUUCUCAUACCCGUCCCAAUAGGGAUGGGGCGGGUGACCCGGAUUACCCAGAAAAUUGUAGUUCCUAAGCAAGCAUUGAGCUAAAUCCUAAUCUCACAUUCCUGCUCGAAACUUUACACUCACAUAAAAACAACUCACCACUUGACUCGAUGGACUAUUCCGUAACUUCUCACUACCAACAACCAGGCACUAUUCAACCUCUCGCUCACUUAUAAAUUCACUCCCUACCUGCAUAUUCAAAACAUAUCUUACUACUAUUCUACUCUACUAUUCUACUUUUCGUGGUUUCAUAUCUCACUAUUAUUCUACUUUUCGCGGUUUCAUAUCUCACUACUAUUCGCGUGUUCAAAGUGUGCAUAUUCAAAGUGUAUCCCUCCUUGAAUUAAUUGUGAAUUAAUUUAGGCUUCAAAGUGUGUUGCUCUACAACAUCCCUCCUAGUCAGGCCUCAAAGUAAGAACAACAACAUCUACAAUAUCUGCCAUGGCCACACAACCAAGGCAUGUGGUAUGCCUCAUUUUCUCAUGUCCUUUUCCCAUUUUGUUCCCUCUUUUCAUCUCCAUUUUGUUUUCAAUAUUCCCUUACCUUACUCAUAUUCUCUAAAAUUAGAUAAAAUUAUUAAUUUGAUCAUAUUUAUCUAACAUUUUUAAUUAGUACUACUAGUAUCUUAUUUUCAUAAAUCUAAUUGAAUUUCCUACUUAUUUAUUUAUUGUUUUCAUGACAAAAAUUCAUCAGCUUUCAUAUCUUUCCUUACAAUUCUGAGUUCAACUGUCCUUGCGAAAUACCAAUAUGAGAAUGUUUCCCCAUUUGCCCAACACAACAUAGGUAUGCAAAUCUCCUUAUUUGCAUCAUUUAUAUAUUUCAUGAUGGUUGUGGCUUAUGAAAUCCUUGAUUCUAAUGGAACUAUCAAAAUUGAAGAAGAUGGAAGAUAUCUCCUUAUUUUGGGUCAUGUUUAGUUCUUAAGUGGAACAGCAGCUGCAACUUUGUUGAUCCUGAUCUUGAUCCCAUAUUUUGGAUGGUUCUUUCUGAUCAUGUGGACCAUGUUCUUAGUGAAAAUAGCAUGCUAUUGGGAUAAAACAUUUUAUAACUUUGACAUGUUCAAGAAUAAAAAAAAAUGCCAAUGAUAAGGAAUGAGGACAAGAGGAGCAACGACCCCAAGUUUAGAGUAGGUUUGGUCUAUAAGAGGUUAUUAGCAAAAAACAUAUUUUCUUCUUGUACUUUUGAAAGUGUUAUAUAAGUGUCAUAUUUUGAGUAAUGAGAGUAUUUUUUUUUCCUUUUUUCUUUUUCUCUAAUACAUUAUUGUUGAUUAUUCUUCGCUGGAAUACCCACAAGGCUAUUAGAUGUUUCAUUGCAAAUAUGGUUUUAUAUGAUAGCAUUACGAUUGAACUUAUAAAACAUAUUUUCUACAUAUUGUUUAGCUGGGCCUCCCAACUACCUCUCGGUAAUAUCCUCUUAACAUAGGAAGUAUAAACUAAUAGCAAGUGCUAAUCUUUCCCAUUCUUACACAAGAAAGACCCAAGGAGAAGGUAUAUUUAGAAAUUGCAUAUCUAUGUUCCCAAACAAUAGAAAAUUCAAUAUAUGGCACUUCACUCUCUACUUUUCUUUCCCACAUUUUCUCAUAACCCAAAUAUGCUCACCUCUCAUUCUAAGAUCCAACCAUUGAAAAACAAUUACAAAAAUCCUAAUAAAAGAGAUAGAUCAUACUACAAUUACACUUUCUUACAAGAAAUUGAAGUGUAGAAGGUAUAACAAUUGAGUGAAACAAAUAAAAACCAACCUCCUUUAACACACCUGCUAAUGAAAUACUUGUAGAGACACUAUAAAUCCCUCCAGACUCCAAAAGAUACUGAUCAACAGCCUCGGCACUUGCAGCGACGAGACCAAUCCUUGGUACGAUAUAAUGCACGAACUCGACACGGAAUCGGUAAGACUCAGUUAGAUUACAGAAAAAUUUUCAAACAUUCUUUUUUUCUUUCCAAUCAUAAUAAAACAUUAGAAUAUUUUCCAAAAGCAAACACCCAUGAUUUUGAAAUUGGAGCUUUUAAACCAGAAGAUCAAAGAAGACGAAGAAGAAAAAACCCAACCCCUGACCCGUUCAGAAAUAAGAGGAGAAACCACCGAAUGAUGAAGGCAUGAUUUAGGAUUUACUUACUUGAUUUUCCUAAAAAUCGAGAAUCACCAGAGGGUGGAGGUUUGGUGUCGGCGGUGGUAACUUGUCAAGUGGACUAAAUCUUGCAACGAGGACGUCAGCCAGGCAACCCUCACAGUCAGAUUGCUCCCCCUCCGGGGUCUUUCAUAGUUGUAAAUUUGCAAUUGCAAGUGGUGUCAUUUGUCGGCGGUCUUGACAGCAAAGGUGGUAUGCAAGGUGUGGGAGAUUGGGAGCCCUAAUUGGUAAAGUAAAAAAUGCAUUUUAUAUGGAUUUACAUUGAUGAUAUGAGAUAGGAUUUGAUGGUAACUUAUUAAAUUAAAUUAAAUGAUUGAGUCUAAAAUGAUAUGGAUGGUAUGAGAUAGGAUUUAAUGAAAAAUUAAAUGUAUUUAUAUGGCAGAUUGAGAAUUAAAUCUCCAAUUCUUAGUAUUAUUAUAAAUAGCUUUGAGUUAAAUGUGAAAUUUUUUUGUUUUAUUAAUUUUUUAAGCUUAUUUAAUUUCUAUCUAUUUUUUUUAUAUAAUUUACAUAACAUUUUUAUAAUUUUAUGAAAUUUCUAAUUAUCUUAUUUUGCGUAAUGCUUGAUACUGAAUCGAGAUGUCAAGACCAACAUGUCUCGGGAUCAUCUGAGUCAAUGAUCGAUAUCGCGACUUUGAACCAUACUCGUCUCCAAUCCCUCAACAAUGAUGAAAAAUGAGGCCAACGUAGUUGCCUUUUUUAUUAUUAUCAGUUAAAAAUAAUGAAUCUAAAUUCAUGUAUUAUCAAGAAUAAAUAAGUUUAUAUUUAUAAAUUUUUAUUAUAAAUUUAUAUUUACACAUAUCCUUGAUUUUCCUCAAGGUUUUAUUUUUAAUUGAUUACAAAGCAUUAGUACUUAUUUAAUUUAAAAUGUAUUAAAUAAAUAUUAAUAUUAUAUAAAUAAAUAAAAGUUGAAUUUGAAUAAAAAAUUUAUAUAUAUAUAUCAUAUUCUUCAUGAAUAUGAAUCUAUUAUUAAAGAUACAUGGUAAUAAGUGUUAAUAUUAUAUAAUCAAAUGAGAGAGUACAAAAAUGUUCUAUUAUUAGCAAUACAUUAUUAUAAUAAUAAGAUACUUAAUAUAAUGUAAAUAAAUAAAAGUCGUCAUAAAUUUAAAUUUGAAUUUAUAUUUUAAAACCCAUCACAUUUAUUUUUAUUUUUUUAAAAUUUUAAGAAUUUUUUCUCCACUUCAAAUAGCAAUAAUAGUGUUUAUUCAUACUAAUUAUACUUAAAAUUGAUGAAAAUUAUGAAAAAAAAAACCCAUACCCUUCAAAUUUAUAUUUGUUUUAAUUUUAAAUUUUUUUUCUCUACUUCAAGUAAUAAUAAUAAUAAUGUUUAUUCAUACUAAUAACAAUAAAAUUAAUGAAAAUGAUGAAAAAUAAAAAAUUGUUUGGUUUCAACAUUGUUUAUUCAAAAUAAUUUUUUUUAUUUGCACUUUCCUACUAGGCCAAACUAAGAAUGACUCAGACCAGUAUGGUCCGUUUAAAUGCCUAUCUUUUUAUUAUAAGCUCACUAAGCUGCAUCUCUCAAGACUCUAGUGAAACACAAUCUGGCCCAAAUAAAUUUUCCGAUUCAAUCCACUUCCUACAAUUCCGCCAAAAAGACCUAAUUUCUCAUUGAAAAAAUGGUUAAAAAUAAGAAUAGCAAGAGAAUCAAGUUAUGGCUCAAAAAAGGUUUUUUUUUUUUCUUAAAAAAAAAAAAAAAAACUAUCUAAACCUUAAAAAAAUUGAAAAUAAGUAAAACAUAAGAUAAGUUACAAACUAAAUGCACCAAAAGUAAAUUCAAAAAUGGAAUAGCUGGUUAGGGACAAUACUAUAAACAAGUAGGCUUAUCAAUUGUUGAAUCCAUAGAAUCUGUGGUCUCCCUAUGCAUUAUGAAUUUUUUCUUUGCUUCAAAUAAUAAUAAUAAUAAUAAUAAUAAUGUUUAUUCAUACUAAUAAACAAUUCUUCAUAAUCAUAACCUCCUAAUUUCCAAUAAUUAUAAUUGAAAUUAUUUUAAAUAAACAAUGUUGAAACCAAACAAUGUUUCAACAUAAUAGGAAAGUGCAAAUAAAAAUACCCCAUUACAAAUACCUUCCAAAAUUUAUUUAAAAUUCAUAGAUUUUUUUUUUUACUUUAAAUAUCAAAAAAAUUAUUGAUUCAUAAUAAUUUCACUUAGAAUUCAUAAAAAAAUAUGAGGAAAAAAAAUUAAAAUAAAAAAUUUUAAGAUCCCUACCCUUCCCAUUUAAUUUUAACAAUUUUUUUCUGAGCAUUGAUUUGUUGAUCGGUUAUCAAGGGCCACUCAUUUGCUUUGUUGGAUCUAACUCUCUAUAAGCAUGCUUUGUUUUGGCUUCGUUUUUUUUAUCUUUGCUUUCUCUUGUAAAUAUCUGAUGCAUUGUUCCCUCUUUGAACUUGAGAUAUAAAAACCAUGCUCUUGUUCCUUGUGGAUUCCACCUGCUCCUAGCUCUUUGAUAAUCCAUGAAAUAGAGCUAAGUUCAUACUCUAUUUUUAUGUUUUUAUUAUUCUUUGUUUGUUGUUGAUGGUGGGAUGAUAUUAUCAAUGGCCAAGUUGCUGGGAUUGGAGGAGUGAGGUUAUGGGGAAGUGAACUUAAUGGAGGAUUUCUGUGAUCAUAUCUAUGCUCCAAUCUAUUGGUUCCAAAUGUUGGUCACGAGACUGCAUUGAAGUUUUGGUAUUUGGGAUCACUUUGCCAUCUGGGUUUAGUAAGCAACACAGUGGCAAUAAAGAUGCAUUGGUGUUAUUAAUUUGGGUGAAUAAGUUGGUUGUAUGAAUUGUGAAAGUUCAGGUUGUGCUUUGAGGAGAGUAUAUCUUGCAUCCUACUAUUUUAAUUAUUAAUUUUGGAUGUUGAAAUAUGAUGUGAUUGCACUUCAUAUGCAUCAUGGUUGUGUGAGGAAAAAGAAAUAUUAAAGAAAUGGUUGUGUGAAAUGGAAAUAAGAAUGAAAAGACCCUGGAUAGGGCAAAAAUGAAAAGAAAAGAAAAAAAAAAUGAAAUGAUCCUAGAGAGGGCGAAUUAAGAAGGAAGUGAGAUCUCUAAGCUGAAAGACCCAAAAGUUUACUUCGAGAAGACUCCGAAUGGGGAGUAUAUUUAGGUAUAGACGUGUAUCCUUUGGUGAAAGCUUGAGAACCACAGUGCAUUGUGUGAUUGCGUGUAACCAUUUGCAUCAUAAUUGUAUUUGGAAGAAGGAUUUGUAUUAUUUAUCAAGUGUAUGUUUGAAUAUAUUAUUCAAAACUAAAAUGACUUGUUUAUUUUGUAAAUUUAGAAUUGUUGAUAUACUAAACAUAUGAUUGAAUAAGGAAAAUGAUAAUUUUGAUUGUUUUAAAUUUGUAUGGUUGGGGUUUCUUUUAGUGUAUAUAUUGUAAAUGUAAUAUUAUAUCUUGACAUAUGGUUGUGUUAUUGACUUAGAAUUUCUAACCUAUUUGGGUGUAAAACACCCUACUAAGCAACGUGAAAAUGCUCACCCCUUUAUUUUCUAAAAUUUUUAGAUGCAGAUAUAGUUUCAGAGGGGCCGCAAGAAGUUCAAGAAGCGUUCUAGAAAGCAAAAGAACUAUAAUAAUAGUUGUUUUUAAAUUUAUAUUUAUCCUUUUACAUGUACCAAUUUGAAUUAUAUGGGCUUUUGUAUGUUAAAUUAUAUUUUGUUAGAUUGUAAAACAUUUUUGGAAAUAUUUUUUUUGACUUAGAGAUUAUUAUAAAUAUUUGAGCUUUUGGACAGAAAGAUGACUGGUGGAUUUAUUAUACUUGUGAAUAAGAGAUAGUGUGAUGGUUGGUUUUAGAAAAAUAAAAUAUUAUAAUAAAUCUUAACUUAAUAAAUUUAUUUAAGAUUAGACGUUUUAUUAUUUAAAAAAAAAAAGUUUCAGAGUUUUUUGAUUGAUUGUCAGUGUGGAUAGGAGUAAUCCUUAGGGUCAAACCCUUGGCCGACUAUGUAGGUGAAUACCCAAUUAUACCCACAUGAAUCAGCCGUCAAUCUUACAAAUCCAAGGGCAAAGUAGUCAUUCCAAUUCAAACAAAACCAAGCCAUGAUUCAUGAAAACUGCUGGCCACAGCUCCUGGUUUUUCCCAAACUUUGGGCACCAAAUCCAAACCCAUCUCUUGCUAUAUAACCAACCCACCUUCACCUCAUCUUCUUCAUCACAACACAACUACCCUGAUUUACAGAGAGAUUUUCUAUAUCCAUUCACUACUCAGAAUCACCUCUUUCUAUUGUUGAUUGUUGUUUGGGUUUCGGAGAAAGAAAAUUAAGAAGAUGAGUCAUGUGGGGAAAGCUUGGUUAGUGGCAGCAAGUGUGGGAGCAGUGGAGGCACUCAAGGAUCAGGGCUUCUGCAGAUGGAACUACACUCUGAGGUCUAUUCACCAGCAUGCCAAGACCAACCUCAGGUCCUUUGCUCAGGCCAAGAAGCUCUCUUCUUCCUCUUCCGCCAUGGUUUCCAGCAGAGUGAGAGAGGAGAAGGCCAAGCAGUCAGAGGAGUCUCUGAGGACUGUCAUGUACUUGAGCUGCUGGGGACCCAACUGAAGAAGAAGAUAUGAAGAUGGAUGAUCAUCAGCCUGCUCUUGAAGCAUCCAGGGAGGGCAUAUUCCAAGAAAGUAACGGAAAAUUGAGAUGAAGAAACUGCAGUGAAGCAAUUUCAUGGAAUUUUUGCUUGGAGACUCACGAAUUACAACCAAUUGCUCAGGGUUGGGAAAAUUGGAAUUGGCGUAAAUUGUGACUGGGUCUUUGUAAAACCCACAUCAUUUAGCUAGAAAAGCUUUGAAAAUACAUUUUAAUUUAAUUUAUAAUUUCUAUGUUAGAAUAUUAGACCCAAUUCCUAAAAAGCUUGUCAGCCUUGUAUAUAUGGCUAAGCAGGUCAACUUCCCAAGCUCAAGCGCAUUAAGAAAUUCUCAAACCUACCUUUUUUUUAUAGGAUUUUUGGGAAGUUUUACAGCAAUUGAAAACAAAUCUUAAAAGGGUCGGGAAAUUAUUUGAAAAAAUAUGGCAGAUUUGGUCACAUAGGGGAUAAAGAGGUGAUAAAGUUGGUACAACGCCCAAAAUUAAACUCUCAAUUAAUUUAAUUGAACAAAUAAUCAUAAAAGAGAUUUUUUUAAUUUAUGAUUUUUAUUUUUUUAUUUAUACUUUUUGAAAAAGAAAAUUCCAGUGAAAUAUGUUCGUGUAGACUGUGUGGCAGGAUGCAGACUAAACAAAGAAAUUGACACGUGCUUGAAGUCCGGCCCUACACAUAGCCCCAUUGGAAAACAGCGGUUUCAUCCUCCGUACUCUUUGGGCGUUAAGUGGGUUCACAAACCAAACAAUGGGCUGCCCCAACACAGCAACACUUAGACUGAGGACAAACUAUGUAGGUGAAUACCCAAUUAUACCCACAUGAAUCAGUGGUCAAUCUUUCAAAUAUAAGGACAGAGUAGUCAUUCCAAUUCAAAUCAAACAAAGUUAUGAGAACUGCUGGCCACAGCCUCUGGUUUCCCCAAAACUUUGGGCACUAUUCCUCAAAGAAUCAAGUGGGCUAGAGUUAAUAACUUCGUCCACCAUGGUUAGAUUACUGGGGGCUAGAGUUAAUAACUUCAUCCACCAUGGUUAGAUUAUUGGUAUCUCGAUGGGAGAAGUUGUUUUGACGGUAAAACAUUGUAUUUUAUUAUUUUGUAAAUUUUAUCAUCACUCAUAUAUAUUAUUUUUUAUUUAAAAUUAAAUAAAAAAUUAAAAUUCUUAGAAAAUGCGAAACAAAAGUAUAUCACAACUUAUAUUAAUUAAACGUCUUUAUUUUCUAUUCUAAAAUUAAAAAACAAAAUUAAAAUUAUCAAGAAAAAAGUACAUUCCAACUUACAUUAAUCAAGGGAUGAUAUACUGUACAAAUAAAAAAUAAUAAAAAUAAUUAAAGGUUAAAUAAAUCGCUUAAUAAAUUGAUAGUAUGGGUUGAUGGUUUCAUUAUAAGACCAUAACAAGGAUUUUCUUUUUCUUUUUCUUUUUAAAUGCAUUUCACGGUGGUGUAGAAUUUUUUUGUAUAAGGGUUUUUAAAUUAUAAUAUUGAUUAUAUAUAUAGGUGUGUUUUGUCCUAAAUUCCGAUUUCCAAGUUUCCAACAUUAUAUAAAAAUCCCUAAAAUCAUCUACUUCGUAAGUUUUCUAACAUUAUAUAAAAAGCCCUGAAUUCACUUAUUAGGAAAAUGCUAUUUGGUGCACUACCAUCACCAUGACCUCAACCUCGUGUAAAGAUAUCAAGUGGUUACUAAUAAUAAAAAAUAAAUAAUAAAAACAAAAUGUAUUCAUUAUUAUUAUUAUUAUUAUUUUGUACUUUUACCAUCCAUUGUUCACAUCUUAGCAUAUGGUAGAAAAGAUGAUAAAUGAUUAUUUAUGUCAUAAUUUUUAAGUGAAGUGAUCAAAAUAUUUAAAGAAAAAAUUAAUAAUUGAUGAAUAAUUUUUGGUAAAUUUAUAAAUUUGUAAUAAAUAUUAAUAAAUGAUAAACAAAGUAGUUUUUAAAGCGGUUGUAGUAGUUAAACAUUAUAUCUCAUUAUGAUUUUCCACCUUCAAAACUUAAUAAUAAAAUUUCAUAACAAAUUUUUAUCUAUUUAAAACUUUUGAAAUGUGAAAUCUUUUCUUGGACAUCUUUAUAUAUACAUUUGUGAAUUUUCUCUUUAUUUGCUAUUUAUAAAAUUAAAGGAUAAAGUUAAAAUGUUAAAAAUAAAAGAGAAGUAUAUCCCAACUUACAUCAAUUAAGAGAAGAUAUAUUAAGCACAUGAAGAAUGCAAAAAAAAAUUAAUGAUAAAAUAAAUCACUUAUUAGUUAGUAUUUAAUGAUUUACAUUAUUAGAUUGUAGCGAUGAGUUAUAUUUUUAUUUUUGUGUAUAGGUGAUUUUAAAUUAUAAUAUUUUUUAUUUUAUUUUUGAGUUAGUUUUCUUUGUUGAUACAUAGGUUUUUUUUUUUUUUUUUGUCUUGGAUAUUGUGUUAUCUACAGUUUUAAAAGAAAUAAAAAUUAUUUAUCCCACAUUGAUUCAAAACUAAAAAUAUUAUAUAUAUAUUUGUUAAAACUUUGAUACCCUUAAAAAAUACAAGUACAACCAAUAAGCAGGCAUAGGGAUGGCAACGGGGUAGGUAUGGGACGGGCCACCCCUACCCCAUUUCCAUCCCGGUUAUAUAUUUUUUUUUCCAUCCCCGUCCCAAACCCAGGGCGGGGCGAGUUGGUGUCUCCUAUGCCCAUUUACAAAAGAGCUGAUAAUCUCAUCCCCAUCCCAAAUGUAUUUUCGGGAAUUAUGCUUUUACAGAACAUGGGUCUCUGAAAUUUCAAUAAACGUUAUAUGGGUUAUCAUAAACACAUUUAAUCAAGCAUUUGUUGUGCAACAAAACUGCAAACUGCACACAUGAGAACAAAAUGCACAGAUCUACAAAUAAACAACCCAAAAAAUCUCAAAUCCAUCAACCAAACCAGAAAAUAUGAAAAACAAGACAUUUCUAACAAAGCCUCAAAACUUAGGGUUUUCUUACCUGGAAAUGAGGAAUCCAUAGAAACCCUAAUAAUUUGUUGUCUACGAAUUUGGUAUUUUGGUUUUCAAAGCAAAAAAUGUGCUUUUAGGGUGAAACGGGAAGAAACAAUUUAGGAAUAAAUGAGAAAACGAGAAGAAAUGAGAAAACAAAAGCCCUAUUACGAGCAAAAGAACCCUGAGCAAUUUAGGAAGAAAUGAGAAAACGGGAAGAAAUGAGAAAACAAAAAGCCUCUUACGAGCAAAAGAAUCCUAAGCAAUUUAGGAAGAAAUGAGAAAACUAGAAGAAAUGAGAAUGAAAGCCCUCUGAGAGCGAAAACCCUCUAAGAGUGAAAGCCCUCUGACUCUCUCACGAGUGAAAUAACCCUAAAAUUUGAGGAAGAAAUGAUUAUAUAUGGAGGACUUUUUGGGUAUUUUGUAAUGACAUAAGGGUAAAUCGGUAAUUCACAUACGGGAUGGGGCGGAAACUGCAAAACCCAUCCCUGCCCUGAACCCGAUUUGGGUUUUUAUAUAUUCCCCAAACCCGUUCUAUACCCGAAUAAAAUAUUCCCAUACCCGUCCCAAUAGGGGCGGGUGACCCGAAUUACUCGGAAAAUUACCAUUCCUAAGCAAGCAUUGAGCUAAAUCCUAAUCUCACAUUCUUGCUCGAAACUUUACACUCAAAUAAAAACAAUUCACCACUUGACUCGAGGGACUAUUCCGUAACUUCUCACUACCAACAACCAGGCACUAUUCGACCUCUCGCUCGCUUAUAAAUUCACUCCCUACUUGCAUAUUCAAAGCGUAUCUCACUACCAUUCUACUCUACUAUUCUACUUUUCGCGGUUUCAUAUCUCACUACUAUUCGCGUGUUCAAAGUGUGCAUAUUCAAAGUGUAUCCCUCCUUGAAUUAAUUGUGAAUUAAUUUAGGCUUCAAAGUGUGUUGCUCUACAAUAUCCUUCCUAGUCAGGCUUCAAAGUAAGAGCAACAACAUCUACAAUAUCUACCAUGGCCACACAACCAAGGUAUGCGGUAUGCCGCCUUUUCUCAUGUCCUUUUCCCAUUUUGUUCCCUCUUUUCAUCUCCAUUUUGUUUUCAAUAUUCUCUUACCUUACUCAUAUUCUCUAAAAUUAGAUAAAAUUAUUAAUUUGAUCAUAUUUAUCUAACAUUUUUAAUUAGUACUACUAGUAUCUUAUUUUCAUAAAUCUAAUUGAAUUUUCUACUUAUUUAUUUAUUGUUUUCAUGACAGAACUUCACCAGCUUUCAUAUCUUUCCUUACAAUUUUGAGUUCAGUUGUCCUUGCGAAGUACCAAUAUGAGAAUGUUUCCCCAUUUUCCCAACACAACAUAGGUAUGCAAAUCUCCUUAUUUGCAUCAUUUAUAUAUUUCAUGAUGGUUGUGGUUUAUGAAAUCCUUGAUUCUGAUGGAACUGUCAAAGUUGAAGAAGAUGGAAGAUAUCUCCUUAUUUUGGGCCUGUUCGGUUCUUAAGUGGAACAGCAGCUGCAACUUUGUUGAUCCUGAUCUUGAUCCCAUAUCUUGGAUGGUUCCUUUUGGUCAUGUAGACCAUGUUCUUAGUGAAAAUAGCAUGCUAUUGGGAUAAAACAUUUUAUAACUUUGACAUGUUCAAGAAUAAAAAAAAAUGCCAAUGAUAGGGAAGGAAGACAAGAGGAGCAGCGACGCCAAGUUUAGAGUAGGUUUGGUCCAACAGAGGUUAUUAGCAAAAAACAUAUUUUCUUCUUGUACUUUCGAAAGUGUUAUAUAAGUGUUAUAUUUUGAGUAAUGAGAGUAUUUUUUUCCUUUUUUCUUUUUCUCUAAUACAUUAUUGGUGAUUAUUCUUCAUCGGAAUACCCACAAGGUUAUUAGAUGUUUAAUUGCAAAUAUGGUUUUAUAUGAUAGCAUUAUGAUUGAACUAAUAAAACAUAUUUUUUUGCAUAUUGUUUAGCUGGACUUCCCAACUACCUCUGGGUAAUAUCCUUUUAACAUAGGAAGUAUAAACUAAUAGCAAGUGCUAAUCUUUCCCAUUCUUACACAAGAAAGAACUAAGGAAAAAGGUAUACUUAGAAGUUGCAUUUCUAUGUUCCCAAACAAUAGAAAAUUCAAUAUAUGGCACUUCACUCUCUACUUUUCUUUCCCACCUUUUCUCAUAACCCAAAUAUGCUCACCUCUCAUUCCAAGAUCCAACCAAAAUUGAAAAACAAUUACAAAAAUCCUAGUAGAAGAGACAGAUCAUACUACAAUUACACUUUCUUACAAGAAAUUGAAGUGCAAAAGGAAUAACAAUUGAGUGAAACAAAUAAAACCAACCCCCUUUACCACACCUACUAAUGAAAUACUUGCAGAGACACUUUAAAUUUCUCCAGACUCCAAGAGAUACUGAUCAACAGCCUCGACACCUGCAGUGAUGAGACCAACACUUGAUACGAUAUAAUGCACAAACUCGACACGGAAUUGGUAAGACUUGGUUAGAUUACAGAAAAAUUUUCAAACAUUAUAUUUUUCUUUCCAAUCACAACAAAACAUCAAAAUAUUUUCAAAAAUAAAAAUUAGAGAUUCCCUCUUCAAAAGAAGACACCCAUGAUUCUGAAAUUGGAGCUUUUAACCCAGAAGAUCAAAGAAGACAAAGAAGAAAAAACCCAACCCCUAACCCAUUCGGAAAUAAGAGGAGAAACCAUCAAAGAAUGAGGGCAUGAGUUAGGAUUUACUUACCUGAUUUUCCUAAAAAUCGAGAAUCACCAAAGGUGGAGGUUUGGUGUCGGCGGUGGUAACUCGUCAAGUGGACUGAAUCUUACAAUGACGACGUCGGCUAGGCAACCCCCUCACAGUCAGAUUGCUCUCCCUCCGGGGUCUUGCAUAGUUGCAAAUUUGCAAUUGCAGGUGGUGUCAUCUAUCGGCGGUCUUGACAGCAACGGUGGUGUGCGAGGUGUGGGAGAUUGGGAGUCCAAAUUGGUAAAGUAACAAAUGCAUUUUAUAUGGAUUUACGUUGAUGAUAUGAGAUAGGAUUUGAUGGUAACAUAUUAAAUUAAAUUAAACGAUUGAGUCCAAAAUGAUACGGAUGGUAUGAGAUGGGAUUUAAUGAAAAAUUAAAUGUAUUUAUAUGGAAAAUUGAGAAUUAAAUCCCCAAUUCUUAGUAUUAUUAUAAAUAGGUGAAAAAAUUUUGUUUUAUUAAAUUUUUAAGCUUAUUUAAUUUCUAUAUAUUUUUUUAUAUAUAAUUUACAUAACAUUUUUAUAAUUUUUUGAAAAUUUUAAUUAUCUUAUUUUGCGUAUUGCUUGAUAUUGAAUCAAAAUGUCGAGACCAACAUAUCUCGGGAUCAUUUGAGUCAAUGAUCGAUAUCACAACUUUGAACCAUGCUCGUCUCCAAUCCCUCAACAAUGAUGAAAAAUGAGGGCAACACAAUUACCUUUUUUAUUAUUAUCAGUUCAAAAUAAUACGUGUAUUAUAAUAUAAUUUUUAAAAAAUAUUUUACAAAAAAAUAUAUGUGGACCCCGCAUUUAGGCUCAUGCACUUCCACUCGAUGGCGAGCUCGAUUUUAUUUUGAAAAUGAUUUUAUUUAUUAGAAAAUGACUUGGAGUCGCUACUUAUUUUUGUUUUAUUUUUAAAGGGUAAACAAAAUAAGAAAGAAAACCCUAAGUGUGACUCCUUAUUUUGGAAAAGGUGGUCUGUGAAAAAUGGGAUCGAGUUCGGGGGCUAGGUUACUUAUCGGGAAGGUACGGUAAAGACCGUAGCACCCCUUUAACUCCCCAAAGUCGGGUCUUUACUAAUAAAAUGAAGUUGACGCGACAAUCAAUAAUAAAAACAAUGAAUAUCGACAUGAUCACAUAUUGAAAACCAAAACAUAUAAGGAUGAUGGUUAGAGUGAGAAAAAAUGCGUACCUAAUCAGCAAGCGGCAACGCGCUAUCAUAAAAUGAGGUUAGUGCACAAAUAAUGGACAUAAAACAUAGCUCACAUGCCACUGAAUCGAGUACAAAAUCAUCAGAUAUCACAAUUAAGUCAAAUUUAUUUUUCGAGGAAACAAUCAUUGAUGUUGGGCCUCCACCAAAACCCAAUUUAUUCCUGCAUGAAUUAAUUCCGUAAAUUCCAUCACUUGGAAUUAUAGAAUUUAAUUCACACUUAUUUUUAAAACGUUUUAGAAUUCAUGGAAGUUAUGGAAAUCCAUGCCGAAGAAAAUGACAACAAAAUUUUAUUAAAAAUGUGAUUUUUGGGACUUGAAAGCUCUAAGAAUGAAGAAUCUGGAAAAUAAUGCGAAAAAAAUGAGAUUUGGAAAAAAAUAUUUUUUUAAACCAAGAAUGGUGAAAAUGAGAAGAGAAAAAAAAAGUGACACGUGGCAUAAGGGUGGCCAUGCACCAUUUCAAACAAAUCUAACCCCACUUGCUUUUAUUUGAUCCUGAUCUUGAUCCCAUAUUUUGGAUGGUUCCUUCUGGUCAUGUGGACUUCUUAGUGAAAAUAGCAUGCUAUUGGGAUAAAACAUUUUAUAACUUUGACAUGUUUAAGAAUAAAAAAAAUGUCAAUGAUAGGGAAGGAGGACAAGAGGUGUAGCGACGCCAAGUUUAGAGUAGGUUUAGUCCAAUAGAGGUUAUUAGCAAAAAAACAUAUUUUCUUCUUGUACUUUUGAAAGUGUUCUAUUUUGAAUAAUGAGAGUAUUUUUUUUCCUUUUUUUUUUCUCUAAUACAUUAUUGGUGAAUAAGUGUUCUAUUUUGAAUAAUGAGAGUAUUUUUUUUCCUUUUUUUUUUUUCUCUAAUACAUUAUUGGUGAAUAAGUGUUCUAUUUUGAAUAAUGAGAGUAUUUUUUUUUCUUUUUUUUUUCUCUAAUACAUUAUUGGUGAUUAUUCUUCGCGGAAAUACCCACAAGGCUAUUAGAUGUUUCAUUGCAAAUAUGGUUUUACAUGAUAGCAUUACGAUUGAACUAAUAAAACAUAUUUUCUACAUAUUGUUUAGCUGGACCUCCCAACUACCUCUGGAUAAUAUCCUCUUAACAUAGGAAGUAUAAACUAAUAGCAAGUGCUAAUCUUUCCCAUUCUUACACAAGAAAGAACCAAGGAAAAGGUAUACUUAGAAGUUGCAUUUUUAUGUUCCUAAACAAUAGAAAAUUCAAUAUAUGGCACUUCACUCUCUACUUUUCUUUCCCACCUUUUCUCAUAACCCAAAUAUGCUCACCUCUCAUUCCAAGAUCCAACCAAAAUUGAAAAACAAUUACUAUUACAAUUACACUUUCUUUCAAGAAAUUGAAGUGUAGAAGGUAUAAUAAUUGAGUGAAACAAAUAAAAACCAACCUCCUUUAACACACCUGCUAAUGAAAUACUUGUAGAAACACUUUAAAUUUCUCCAGACUCCAAGAGAUACUGAUCAACAGCCUCGGCACCUACAGCAAUGAGACCAACACCUGAUACGAUAUAAUGCACAAACUUGGCAUGGAAUCGGUAAGACUCGGUUAGAUUAUAGAAAAAUUUUCAAACAUUCUCUUUUUCUUUCCAAUCAUAAUAAAACAUCAUAAUAUUUUCAAAAAUAAAAAUCAGAGAUUCCUCUUUCAAAAGCAAACACCCAUGAUUCUGAAAUUGGAGCUUUCAACCCAGAAGAUCAAAGAAGACGAAGAAGAAAAAACCCAACCCUUAACUCGUUCGGAAAUCAGAGGAGAAACCACCGAAGGAUGAGGGCAAGAUUUAGGAUUUACUUACCGAUUUUCCUAAAAAUCAAGAAUCAUCAGAGGGUGGAGGUUUGGUGUCGGCGGUGGUAACUCGUCAAGUGGACUGAAUCUUACAACGGCGAGGUCGGCUAGGCAACCCCCUCACAGUCAGAUUGCUCCCCCUCUAGGGUCUUGCAUAGUUGCAAAUUUGCAAUUGCAGGUGGUGUCAUCUAUCGGCGGUCUUGACAACAACGGUGGUGUGCGAGGUGUGGGAGAUUGGGAGCCCAAAUUGGUAAAGUAAAAAAUGCAUUUUAUAUGGAUUUACAUUGAUGAUAUGAGAUAGGAUUUGAUGGUAACAUAUUAAAUUAAAUUAAAUGAUUGAGUCCAAAAUGAUAUGGAUGGUAUGAGAUGGGAUUUAAUGAAAAAUUAAAUGUAUUUAUAUGACAGAUUAAGAAUUAAAUCCCCAAUUCUUAGUAUUAUUAUAAAUAGGUGAAAUUUUUUUGUUUUAUUAAAAUUUUAAGCUUAUUUAAUUUCUAUAUAUAAUUUACGUAAUAUUUUUAUAAUUUUUUGAAAUUUCUAAUUAUCUUAUUUUGCGUAUUACUUGAUACCGAAUCAAGAUGUCAAGACCAGCAUAUCUCGGGAUCAUCUGAAUCAAUGAUCGAUAUCGCGACAUUGAACCAUACUCAUCUCCAAUCCCUCAAUAGUGAUGAAAAAUGAGGCCAACGCAGUUGCCUUUUUUAUUAUUAUAAGUUAAAAAUAGUCAUGUAUUAUAAUAUAAUUUUAAAAAAAUAUUUUUACAAAAAAAAUACAAUAAAGAAAAUUUUAAAUAAAAGAGUUUACAAUAACUUUCUAUAUUAAUAAAUUAAUAAUGAAUCUAUAUCCAUGUAUUAUCGAGAAUAAAUAAGUUUAUAUUUAUAUAUUUUUAUUAUAAAUUUAUAUUGACACAUAUCCUUGAUUUCCCUCAAGGUUUUAUUUUUAAUUGAUUACAAAGCAUUAGUACUUGUUUAAUAAAAAAUGUAUUAAAUAAAUAUUAAUAUUAUAUAAAUAAAUAAAAGUUGAAUUUGAAUAAAACUUAUAUAUAUAUAUCAUAUUCAACAUGAAUAUGAAUCUAUUAUUAAAGAUACAUGGUAAUAAGUGUUAAUAUUAUAUAAUCAAAUGAGAGAGUACAAAAAUGUUCUAUUAUUAUAAUAAUAAGAUAUUUAAUAUCAUGCAAAUAAAUAAAAGUCACCAUAAAUUUAAAUUUGAAUUUAUAUUUUUAAACCCUUCAAAUUUUUAUUUUUAUUUUUAAAUUUUAAGAAUUUUUUCUCCACUUCAAAUAGCAAUAAUAGUGUUUAUUCAUACUAGUUAUACUUAAAAUUGAUGAAAAUUAUGAAAAAAAAAAAAGAAAUAAAAACCCAUACCCUUCAAAUUUGCAUUUGUUUUAAUUUUAAGAUUUUUUUUCUCUACUUCAAGUAAUAAUAAUAAUAAUGUUUAUUCAUACUAAUAACAAUAAAAUUAAUGAAAAUGAUGAAAAAUAAAAAAUAAAUAGUAAAAACUUCAAAUUUGUAAUAAUAAUAAUGUUUAUUCAUACUAAUAAACAAUUCUUCAUAAUCAUAACCUACUAAUUUCCAACAAUUAUAAUUGAAAUUAUUUUGAAUAAACAAUGUAAUUUGUAUUUGAAGUUGAAAAAAAUUGUGAAAAUUAAAUGGGAAGGGUAGGGUUUUAAUUUUAUUUUAUUUUUUUUACUUUUUACCUCAUAAAUUUUUUAUUUUUUUAUUUUUAUUUAUUUAUGAAUUCUAAGUGAAAUUAUUAUGAAUCAACAAUUUUAUUGAUAUUUAAAGUUAAAAAAAAUCUAUGAAUUUUAAAUAAAUUUUGGAAGGUAUUUGUAAUGGGGUAUUUUUAUUUGCACUUUCCUAUUAUGUUGAAACAUUGUUUGGUUUCAAAAUUGUUUAUUCAAAAUAAUUUCAAUUAUUAUUAUUGGAAAUUAGGAGGUUAUGAUUAUGAAGAAUUGUUUAUUAGUAUGAAUAAACAUUAUUAUUAUUAUUAUUAUUAUUAUUAUUAUUAUUUGAAGUAGAGAAAAAAUUCAUAAUGCAUAGGGAGAUCACAGAUUCUAUGGAUUCAACAAUUGAUAAGCCUACUUGUUUAUAUUAUUGUCCUUAACCAGCUAUCCCAUUUUUUAAUUUACUUUUGGUGCAUUUAGUUUGUAACUUAUCUUAUGUUUUACUUAUUUUCAAUUUUUUAAGGUUUAGAUAGUUUUUUUUUUCUAAAAAAAAAAAAAAACCUCUUUUGAGCCAUAACUUGAUUCUCUUGCUAUUCUUAUUUUUAACCAUUUUUUCAAUGAGAAAUUAGGUCUUUUGGCGGAAUUGUGGGAAGUGGAUUGAAUCGGGAAAUUUAUUUGGUCCAGAUUGUGUUUCACUAGAGUCCUAAGAGAUGCAGCUAAGUGAGCUUAUAAUAAAAAGGUAGGCAUGUAAACGAACCAUGCUAGUCCGGGCCAUUCUUAGCUUGGCCUAGUGGGCCUUCAAAAUUGCUCCAACAUGAAUUUCAACGUGAACUUCAGUUUUUAAAAUUAAUAAUUAUACAUUUGUUUUAACUAUUUAUAACAAAUAUUAUCUUUGAAAAGUAAAUUUCAAUUAAUUUUUAUAUUUAAAUAAAAAUUAUUAUUAUUUUAAUUAUUUGUAUCCAAAUCAUACCCGAUAUAUUUGAUUUAUCUUACAAUGUUUCAACAUAAUAGGAAAGUGCAAAUAAAAAUACCCCAUUACAAAUACCUUCCAAAAUUUAUUUAAAAUUCACAUAUAUAUAUAUAUAUAUAUAUAUAUAUAUAUAUAUGAAUUUUAAAUAUCAAUAAAAUUGUUGAUUCAUAAUAAUUUCACUUAGAAUUCAUAAAAAAAAUAUGAGGAAAAAAAAUUAAAAUAAAAAAUUUUAAGAUCCCUACCCUUCCCAUUUAAUUUUAACAAUUUUUUUUUCUGAGCAUUGAUUUGUUGAUCGGUUAUUAAGGGCCACUCAUUUGCUUUGUUGGAUCUAACUCUCUGUAUGCAUGCUCUGUUUUGGCUUUGUUUUUUUUUUUUUUUUUUUAUCUUUGCUUUCUCUUGUAAAUAUCUGAUGCAUUGUUCCUUCUCUGAACUUGAGAUAUAAAAAUCAUGCUCUUGUUCCUUGUGGAUUCCACCUUCUCCUAGCUCUUUGACAAUCCAUGAAAUAGAGCUAAGUUCAUACUUUAUUUUUAUGUUUUUAUUCUUUUUUGUUUGUUGUUGAUGGUGGGAUGAUAUUAUCAAUGGCCAAGUUGCUAGGAUUAGAGGAGUGAGGUUAUGGGGAAGUGAACUUAAUGGAGGAUUUCCGUGAUCAUAUCCAUGCUCCAAUAUAUUGGUUCCCAAUGUUGGCCACGGGACUGUAUUGAAGUUUUGGUAUUUGGGAUCACUUUGCCUUCUGGGUUCAGUAAGCAACACAGUGGCAAUAAAGAUGCUUUGGUGUUAUUAAUUUGGGUGAAUAAGUUGGUUGUAUGAAUUGUGAAAGUUCAGGUUGUGCUUUGAGGAGAGUAUAUCUUGCAUCCUACUAUUUUAAUUAUUAAUUUUGGAUGUUGAAAUAUGAUGUGAUUGCACUUCAUAUGCAUCAUAGUUGUGUGAAGAAAAAGAAAGAUUAAAGAACUGGUUGUGUGAAAUGGAAAUAAGAAUGGAAAAACCUUGGAGAUGGCAAAAAUGAAAAGAAAAGAAAAAAAAAAAAAAUGCAAUGACCCUAGAGAGAGCGAAUUAAGAAGGGAGUGAAAUCCCUAGGGUGAAAGACCCAAAAGUUUACUUCGGGAAGACUUCGAAUGAGGAGUAUAUUUAGGUACAGACGUGUAUCCUUUGGUGAAAGCCCGAGAAUGACAGUGCAUUGUGUGAUUGUGAGAUUGUGUGUAAGCAUUUGCAUCAUAAUUGCAUUUGGAAGAAGGAUUUGUAUUAUUUAUCAAGUGUAUAUUUGAAUAUAUUAUUCAAAACUAAAAUGACUUGUUUAUUUUGUAAAUUUAGAAUUGUUAAUAUACUAAACAUGAUUGAAUAAGGAAAAUGAUAAUUUUGAUUGUUUUAAAUUUGUAUGGUUAGGGUUUCUUUCAGUGUAUAUAUUGUAAAUGUAAUAUUAUAUCUUGGCAUAUGGUUGUGUUAUUGACCUAGAAUUUCUAACCUAUUUGGGUGUAAAACAUCCUACUGAGCAACGUGGAAAUGCUCACCCUUUUAUUUUUUAAAAUUUUUAGAUGUAAAUAUAGUUUUAGAGGGACCACAAAAAGUUCAAGAAGCGUUUUAGAAAGCAAAAGAACCAUAAUAAGAGUUGUUUUUAAAUUUAUAUUUCUCUUCUUAUACGUACCAAUUUGAGUUAUAUGGGCUUUUGUAUGUUAAAUUAUAUUUGUUAGGUUGUAAAAUAUUUUUGGAAAUAUCCUUUUUGAUUUAGAGAUUAUUGUAAAUAUUUGUGUUUUUGGGCAGGAAGAUGACUAAUGGAUUUAUUAUACUUGUGAAUAAGAGAUAAUGUGAUGGUUGGUUUUAAAAAAAUAAAAUAAUAUGUUAUAAUAAAUCUUAGUUUAAUAAGUUUAUUUAAGAUUACACGUUUUACUAUAAAAAAAAUAAAAAAUUUCAAAGUGUUUUGAUUGAUUGACAACGUAGAUAAGAAUUACCCGGAUCAAACUCUUGACCUGGGCCAACUAUGUUGGUGAAUACCCAAUUAUACCCACAUGAAUCAGCCGUCAAUCUUACAAAUCCAAGGGCAAAGUAGUCAUUCCAAUUCAAACCAAAAAAAGCCAUGAUUCAUGAAAACUGCUGGCCACAGCUCCUGGUUUUUGCCAAACUUUGGGCACCAAAUCCAAACCCAUCUCUUUGCUAUAUAACCAACCCACCUUCACUUCUUCAUCACAACACAACUACCUUGAUUUACAGAGAGAUCUUCUAUAUCCAUUCACUACUCAGAAUCACCUCUUUUUUUUGUUGAUUGUUGUUUGGGUUUUGGAGAAAGAAAAUUAAGAAGAUGAGUCAUAUGGGGAAAGCUUGGAUAGUGGCAGCAAGUGUGGGAGCAGUGGAGGCACUCAAGGAUCAGGGCUUCUGCAGAUGGAACUACACUCUGAGGUCUAUUCACCAGCAUGCCAAGACCAACCUCAGGUCCUUUACUCAGGCCAAGAAGCUCUCUUCUUCCUCUUCUGCCAUGGUUUCCAGUAGAGUGAGAGACGAGAAGGCCAAGCAGUCAGAGGAGUCUCUGAGGACUGUCAUGUACUUGAGCUGCUGGGGACCCAACUGAAGAAGAAGAUAUGAAGAUGGAUGAUCAUCAGCCUGCUCUUGAAGCAACCAGGGAGGGCAUAUUCCAAGAAACUUAUGGAAAAUUGAGAUGAAGAAACUGCAGUGAAGCAAUUUUCUUGGAAUUUUUGCUUGGAGACUCACGAAUUACAACCAAUUGCUCAGGGUUGGGAAAAUUGGAAUUGCUGUGAAUUGUGACUGGGUCUUUGUAAAACCCACAUCAUUUAGCUAGAAAAGCUUUGAAAAUACAUUUUUAUUUAAUUUAUAAUUUCUAUGUUAGAAUAUUAGACCUGAUUCCUAAAAAGCUUAUCAGCCUUGUAUUAGACCCAAGCUCAAGCGCAUUAAGAAAAAAUAUGGCAGAUUUUGUCAUAUAGGGGAUAAAGAGGUGAUAAAGUAGAUACAACUCCCAAAAUUAAACUCUCAAUUAAUUUAAUUGAACAAAUAAUCAUAAAAGAGAUUUUUUAAAUUUAUGAUUUUAUUUUUUAAUUUAUACUAUUUGAAAAAGAAAAUUUCAGUGAAAUAUGUUCGUGUAGACUGUGUGGUAGGGUGCAGACUAAACAAAGAAAUGGACACGUGCUUGAAAUCCGGCCCUACACAUUGGCCCUUUGGAAAACAGCGGUUUCAUCCUCCGUACUUUUUGGGCGUUAAGUGGGUUCACAAACCAAACAAUGGGCUGCUAACACUUACACUGAGGACAAGCUAUGUAGGUGAAUACCCAAUUAUAAUACCCACAUGAAUCAGUGGUCAAUCUUACAAAUCUAAGGACAAAGUAGUCAUUCCAAUUCAAACCAAACAAAGAUAUGAAAACUGCUGGCUACAGCCUCUGGUUUUCCCCAAAACUUUGGGCACCAAACCCAUACCCAUCUCUUGCUAUAUAACCAACCCACCUUCAGUUCAUCUUCCUCAUAACAACACAAAACACUUGAUUUAUAGAGAGAUCUUCAAUAUACCAUUCACUACUCAGAAUCAGUUCUUUUACUGUUGAUUUCUGUUUGAGUUUUGGAGAAAGAAAAUUAAGAAGAUGAGUUAUAUGGGGAAAGCUUGGAUAGUGACAGCGAGUGUGGGAGCAGUGGAGGCACUCAAGGACCAGGGCUUCUGCAGAUGGAACUAUGCUAUGAGGUCUAUUCACCAGCACGCCAGGAACAAGCUCAGGUCUUGUUCUCAGGCCCAGAAACUCUCUUCUUCCUCUUCCGCCAUGGCUUCUAGCAGAGUGAGAGAGGAGAAGGCCAAGCAGUCAGAGGAGUCUCUGAGGACUGUCAUGUACUUGAGCUGCUGGGGACCCAACUGAGGAAGAAGCUAUAUAUAUAUAUAUAUAUAUGAAGGUUUUGAUCGUCCUACUAGUGAUGAAGACAGUGGAGGGGAGAGAUUGAUUUCAUGGAAUUUUUGUACAAAGACAUAUACAUGAGGGUGGAAUUGCUGUAAAUUGUAUAGUUUAUUGACGAUGGCUCUAUGAAAUA